Molecule: ribosomal RNA, 483 nt
Filed under: uncultured bacterium
Lineage: Bacteria
Description: partial 16S ribosomal RNA
Rfam family: Bacterial small subunit ribosomal RNA
Source: RNAcentral
AUUGAACGCUGGCGGCAGGCCUAACACAUGCAAGUCGAGCGGAUGAAGGGAGCUUGCUCCUGGAUUCAGCGGCGGACGGGUGAGUAAUGCCUAGGAAUCUGCCUGGUAGUGGGGGAUAACGUCCGGAAACGGGCGCUAAUACCGCAUACGCCCUGAGGGAGAAAGUGGGGGAUCUUCGGACCUCACGCUAUCAGAUGAGCCUAGGUCGGAUUAGCUAGUUGGUGGGGUAAAGGCCUACCAAGGCGACGAUCCGUAACUGGUCUGAGAGGAUGAUCAGUCACACUGGAACUGAGACACGGUCCAGACUCCUACGGGAGGCAGCAGUGGGGAAUAUUGGACAAUGGGCGAAAGCCUGAUCCAGCCAUGCCGCGUGUGUGAAGAAGGUCUUCGGAUUGUAAAGCACUUUAAGUUGGGAGGAAGGGCAGUAAGUUAAUACCUUGCUGUUUUGACGUACCAACAGAAUAAGCACCGGCUAACUUCGUG